Non-coding RNA from Agrilus planipennis (emerald ash borer), 129 nucleotides. NCBI's taxonomy places the organism in Eukaryota, Metazoa, Arthropoda, Insecta, Coleoptera, Buprestidae. The record is from Rfam.
AAAAAGGGUGUUUACCACUUUAUGGUACACGAACCUUAAUGGUUCGUGGGGUAUGGUAAUCAAGACAUACCCAACACACAAUUUUUGGAAACGUGAGGCUGCUGUUUGUCAUUGAGCAAAGGCGCCUCC